GAGACAGCAGCAGCCGCGGUAAUACGGAGGGUGCAAGCGUUAAUCGGAAUUACUGGGCGUAAAGCGCACGCAGGCGGUCUGACAAGUCAGAUGUGAAAUCCCCGGGCUUAACCUGGGAACUGCAUUUGAAACUGUCAGGCUGGAGUCUUGUAGAGGGGGGUAGAAUUCCAGGUGUAGCGGUGAAAUGCGUAGAGAUCUGGAGGAAUACCGGUGGCGAAGGCGGCCCCCUGGACAAAGACUGACGCUCAGGUGCGAAAGCGUGGGGAGCAAACAGGAUUAGAUACCCGAGUAGUCCCUGUCUCUUAUAC
Molecule: ribosomal RNA, 308 nt
Filed under: uncultured bacterium
Lineage: Bacteria
Description: partial 16S ribosomal RNA
Rfam family: Bacterial small subunit ribosomal RNA
Source: RNAcentral